RNAcentral lists this long non-coding RNA (374 nucleotides) under Glycine max (soybean). RNAcentral describes it as "long non-coding RNA (GMAX_LNC000265)". Lineage: Eukaryota; Viridiplantae; Streptophyta; Magnoliopsida; Fabales; Fabaceae. The record is from RNAcentral.
UUCUCUUUUAUUCUUGAUAAAAUGUAACUCAAGAUAAACAUCUCUUUUAAUAUAAAUCAAACGAAGUAUAUAGACCAAAUCAAACAAAACAUUCGGGUCUUCCCUUGCUUACCAAAAAAAAAUUAAAUACACUACAUGACUUUUAUGCUUCAAAAUAUGGCCAAGUUGUUCCAUCAAAUACCGAAAAAUAGGUGGCUUAUGUCCUUUCCAGCCAAUUAUUAUAUAUGACACGUUAAGAUUGCAUGUCUUUUUCUCUGUUCCACCAUGAAUAGUACAAUUUGGUGUUGAUAAUACGAUUUUCAAAGAAUGCAACAAAAUUGAAUGGACAACUCGAUAGGGACAAAGUUUCUUUAGGUAAUUUGCUUCUUUCUUUU